CCUACGGGGGACAGCAGUGAGGAAUAUUGGUCAAUGGGCGCGAGCCUGAACCAGCCAAGUCGCGUGAGGGAAGACGGUCCUAUGGAUUGUAAACCUCUUUUGUCGGGGAGCAAAAGACGCCACGCGUGGCGUUCCGAGAGUACCCGAAGAAAAAGCAUCGGCUACCUCCGUGCCAGCAGCCGCGGUAAUACGGAGGAUGCGAGCGUUAUCCGGAUUAAUUGGGUUUAAAGGGUGCGCAGGCGGAAGAUCAAGUCAGCGGUAAAAUUGAGAGGCUCAACCUCUUCGAGCCGUUGAAACUGGUGUUCUUGAGUGAGCGAGAAGUAUGCGGAAUGCGUGGUGUAGCGGUGAAAUGCAUAGAUAUCACGCAGAACUCCGAUUGCGAAGGCAGCAUACCGGCGCUCAACUGACGCUCAUGCACGAAAGUGUGGGUAUCGAACAGGAUUAGAUACCCUUGUAGUC
Molecule: ribosomal RNA, 459 nt
Filed under: uncultured bacterium
Lineage: Bacteria
Description: partial 16S ribosomal RNA
Rfam family: Bacterial small subunit ribosomal RNA
Source: RNAcentral